Molecule: ribosomal RNA, 469 nt
Filed under: uncultured bacterium
Lineage: Bacteria
Description: bacterial SSU rRNA
Rfam family: Bacterial small subunit ribosomal RNA
Source: RNAcentral
AGUGAACGCUGGCGGCGUGCUUAACACAUGCAAGUCGAACGAGAACGGAUUAUAGCUUGCUAUAAUUGUCAGCUAAGUGGCGCACGGGUGAGUAAUGUAUAGGUAAUAUGCCUCUUACUAAGGGAUAACAAAUGGAAACGUUUGCUAAUACCUUAUACUCCUUAUUAACUAAAGUUGGUAAGGGAAAGAUUUUAUUGGUAAGAGAUUGGCCUGUAUUGUAUCAGUUAGUUGGUGGGGUAAUGGCCUACCAAGACUAUGACGCAUAACUGGUUUGAGAGGAUGAUCAGUCACACUGGAACUGAGACACGGUCCAGACUCCUACGGGAGGCAGCAGUGGGGAAUAUUGCACAAUGGACGAAAGUCUGAUGCAGCAACGCCGCGUGGAGGAUGACACAUUUCGGUGCGUAAACUCCUUUUAUAUAAGAAGAUAAUGACGGUAUUAUAUGAAUAAGCACCGGCUAACUCCGUG